RNAcentral lists this transfer RNA (42 nucleotides) under Globularia salicina. RNAcentral's name for it is "partial tRNA-Leu". Lineage: Eukaryota; Viridiplantae; Streptophyta; Magnoliopsida; Lamiales; Plantaginaceae. The record is from RNAcentral.
AUUCUUUUACAAACGGAUUGGGGCGUAAAAUGACUUUCUCUU